GCCCUCGUGGAUGAAUCGGUACAUCAUCCAUAUUGCAUGAGCCUUCGUAUCACACAUUGAGUGGAAGGCGGAGGUUCGAAUCCUCCUGGGGGCA
Non-coding RNA from Mycena rebaudengoi, 94 nucleotides. The record is from the annotation of a GenBank genome assembly. Lineage: Eukaryota; Fungi; Basidiomycota; Agaricomycetes; Agaricales; Mycenaceae.